RNAcentral lists this unclassified non-coding RNA (4085 nucleotides) under Hevea brasiliensis (rubber tree). The record is from RNAcentral. Lineage: Eukaryota; Viridiplantae; Streptophyta; Magnoliopsida; Malpighiales; Euphorbiaceae.
UUUUUUUUUUUUUUACAUUCAUCAACAAAGAAUUUCUAUAAAGAUUAAAAGAAGCCAAAAGCUGUUCCCUUACAAUUCCUUCUGUACAUAGUAUUUAAUGCUGACACCCAAGAAUCCUCGCUUUGUGGGAGAAAAAGAAUAUAUAUUGGCACAAAAAGAAUCAAUUUCAAGAUAGAUCCUCCACCUGGUUAACUCAUUUACAACUGAAACAAGCUCAAGUAAUUGUGGUUACAAGUUACAAUUCUAAUCUGUACUCGUCCUAGGAUAUAUCAAAUGUCUGUAUUCGUAAACUAACAGAGAUGAUGGUGAGGGGAAAACCACUAUGCUGAACUAGAAAAGCAUGUUCCUGGCAUCUGCAAAUCAUCCCAGUAGCUAAGUGCAAAGGUAACCUUCUGACUGAAUGAAUUGUCAUCCCAGAAAAAGUUUAGCUAUACACAGAUGGUCACAGGUUGCAAAGUUUGAAUAAUCAGGUCAAUCUAUAUCUUCAAGUGUCUUCUACAAAAGCUCUCAAAAUGAAAUCUCGAAAUCGUUUUGAAUACUGCUUUGGAUCAACAGCAGAGAUUGAAGUCGGAUCAUAUUGCAUUGAUUUGUAUGCAUGCUCAAGCUUUUUGCUAAUAUCAUAGUCUUGUAGUAUGUCUAUUAUACCAAAAAAUAAAAUGAUUUCAUAUAAGUCUCCAGUUGCUUCACCAAUCAGACUUCCUUCACAAUUACUUCUUCUGAUUGUCUUUUCUGCCCUUGCUGGCAUGUUGAUGCCCAGUUUUAUGGAAGACCACCUGCGUAAUUCAUUUAAAGAGAAUAAGAAAAGCAUAGUUAUUGUACGAAUGGGAAUAGCAGUAAGUAAUUUAUAAGUGCGCGAACAGAGUUUGGAAAUAAGGAGAUAGCAAAUUCAGCAUUAUAAUAAGUCAGCAAGAUUGCCAAUUAGCCAUGGAAGCACCACGGAACAUGCAAACAAAAAUCAACGGAUUGUUGAUUUAUGCAACAAUGAGCUGACAUAUGAGAUCUUUUGAGCAGCUUAGAACUAUUUCUCACGUCUACUGAAUUUUAACUAGUCCACAACUUACUGUUUCAUACAUGAUAAAAUUGGAUUGCUAAUUAACCAAUUCUUUAUUAAUUAGCAGUCAAAACAUCCACAGAAGAGAGAGAGAGAGAUGAAUUUUGGUUAUGUAAGCUUAUUUUACCGAGCAGGGUCAAAAAUAAUCUUAUCCAUGUCUACUCUAGAAAGGCGUGGGAGUGCUCCAAAUUCAUUAUCUGGGUCUGCAUUUCCUGCUGGAAGGAACAAAAAGGACAUAAUUUCAUCAGUUCAGCAGGACUGGUUCAGAAAUUACAAAGUGGAGCAAAUUAGAUGACUAGAAAUAACCAGUAGGAGUUCUAAGUCCAGUGGGUGUGAGAAGUCCAGUUGGAGUGCGAAGGCCAGUGGGGGUCCUAACUCCAGAUGUACGAGGUGGUGUCAUGGUAUCCUUAUAUGAAGCUUCUCGAAAGUGAACACCAACCAAAAGACUGUAAUCCAUAAUUCUCUCUUGUUCAAGGAAGUCACAAUCUCUGUCCACUUGCCUGCAAAAAUCUUGGAACCAAACUUUCUGCAAUCGAAAUAUGUAAUUGAGAUCAAGAUCCUUGAGGGUUGUUGUCGGAUCAAUUUCUGAUUCAGGUUUAGCAGUUGUGCGACCAUGGGAAGAACCUUUCAAGUCAAAGCGCCUAUGAAUGGUAUACUCAGCACAGAACAGAUUCCCCAUUAUGACAAAUCGCACCUUCUUCUGGUUCGGACCAGCUAAUUUCACACAAUGAAGACCAUAAAAUUUGGUUACUAGAGUGUGCUCAAAUGCGCGAACAUGAUUGUAGUAAGCUGGCAGCAUCCUUAAGAGCACUUUUACUUCUGCCUUCUUCAUCGUCUUUAUCAUGUAGCGGUCAUCAUUUGUUAAGUAAAAGAAGCUUCCACUUUUGCCCGGGGAUGAGAGCUCCCUAAGGGCAUCAUUCCCACAUAUAGAUAGCAUGUAAUCAGCUGCAUCCACAUUGAACAAUUUCCUGAGAGUCCUGAAAAUUGGGUAGUGAAAGUCAGGCAACAAUUACAUUAACUAAAGUUAGAACAAUAAUGCUAUGAAAUGCAUAUGGCAUGUUUGGACAUCCAGUACCAUUAUAAAGUUUCCCACAGAAAAUAUAAGAUUAUUAUGAAAAUUGCGUAGAAAACUGAACUUCUAUCAGCAGAUUCUUACUAGAAAUAAUACUACAAGAGUCUAUGUCCCAAAUAGAUAAAAUGCAGAUGUAAUUUCAAAUCAUUUUUCAGAAAUAUGGCUUCUGUUUGGCACUGUAGCAGUUUGGUUGAAAUAAAAUGAUUCCUGCUAAAAGAGGCUUAGCCUUUGUAUAUAAAGUAGCGGUUUUCAAGCUGUAACCUGAAAACCAGAGGGCAGUAAUCCUUCCAUUUGAACUCACUAGACUGGUGAGGUGGAGUGUACUUGGAUCCUUCUGGAGGAAAUUUAGUCCAAACUUUUUCCUUGGGAUCAAAAGCUGAAGCCUUCAGAUCAAGAGAUAUAGCCGGAGCAGGUCGUCCCACUGAAUGUCUGAUUCCCAGCUGCAGAUUGAGCAUAAGCUCGUAGUUUUUAUGUCCUUUUGAUAUUGUCUCCCCUUGCUUCUUCGCAGGCUGUAAAUUCAACCUAUGCAUUCUUGAAUCUAAAUCAUCAAACUGACCAAACCCUUCAUCUCCAUCCCUCCAUUCCCCAUCCCCACCACCAAAAGAAACAUCAUUACUUUCCAUCGACGCUAGGCUAUAAUUACUUAAUCUCCCAUCCACGGACAUCCGCCUAGUCCUUCCAUCCUCAGCAUUCCCUUUAAUUGGCUUAACAAUCCCUUGAUCAAUCCCAGACCAAUUGAACGUCUUCUGUGAUGGGAAAAUUGACACCUUUUCACAAGCACAAAUCUGGCAAUCACUCAAGUCAUCCAAAAACACCUCUUGUGGAUCCCAAUCCAAAUUCCCUGACUUAGACCCAGAUGGAUAAUAAGUCCCAUUUUGCUCCUUAGGAUCUUUACUCCAAACUCCCACAUAGAAACUUCCAUCAGACCAUCUAAAAGUCCCAUUUCCUUUUGGCAACCCAUCUUCCCAAAACCCAUCAUAUCUAUUUCCAUUACCCCAAAUCAUAGUUCCAUUACCAUUCAUUAUACCAUUCUUCCAUUGACCAAUAUAAUGGUUCCCAUUCUUCCAUUGAUACCUUCCAUGCCCAUCUUGCAAACCUCUUCUCCAAUCACCUUCAUAGCAAUCUCCAGUGUAAUAACUCUUUGUGCCAUGUCCAUGUCUCAAAUUCAUAACCCAAGAACCCCUAUAAGUAUCACCUGAAGAACCUGUGUAAGUCCCUUUGCCAUCCAUAUAACCAGUCUUGAAAUCACCUUCAUACGUAGCACCAGAAGGCCAACUAAAUUUACCCUUUCCCAUUGUUUUCCCUUUGUACCAUUCACCAACAUACAUGCACCCAUCUGUCCAGAGGUAUUUGCCAUGGCCAUGAGGGAGGCCUUCAUGCCAUUGGCCAGAGUAGAACUCUCCACUGGGAAAAACUCUCUCUGCAUUGUAGACAGACUCGGUGCAAGAAAGAUCAUCAUCAUCUGCAUGAGCUACUGCUGCUGACAUCAUGGUGCCAAAGAUGGAGUUGGAUCUUUUCUUUAUAGCAGCUUGUGAUUUUCUUACCGUUGCUUCCCGGCCCUUUACACAACCUCUAUUCUCUUUGCUCAUUCUCUAUCCCACUCUCUACCUACAGAAAGACCAACUCUUUCUACCUCUCCAGCAUUUCUUCUCUUUUGCCUGUUCUCCCUCUCCCAUUUUCUCUAUGGUAUUGUGUGGUUUUCAGGACAAAAGACACAUUUUUGCAGCAAACCCAGAAUAGGGAAAAUUGGAGGGAAUCAAACAUAGCAAAAACAAGAACAUCAAUCUGUGUUGUUUUUCGUUUUGUUCGUUUUUCAAUAGUGUAUUGGGUACCUUGAGCUGCUGUGAUGGUUUCAUGAAAUGGGUGUUUAUGGGACUUCGAAAAGAAAAAUUGAGUAGCUGUCCUGUUAGAUUAAUGGGGAAAGCAAAAAGAGGUUAGCAUGACUGGCUUUUUCUUUCUUUG